Molecule: long non-coding RNA, 1186 nt
Organism: Girardinichthys multiradiatus
Lineage: Eukaryota; Metazoa; Chordata; Actinopteri; Cyprinodontiformes; Goodeidae
Exons: 5
Source: RefSeq, a predicted model, not a curated record
GAGAAAGGUGGAGGAACUAAAAUCCCAGUUGUCCGGACAGCAGUCACCGAAGCAUCGUUCCAGGUGAGUCACGCCAUCGUUAAAAACAAUAAGUCCUUCCAAGACGGAGAGAUGGUAAAAGAAGCAUUCGUUGAAGCAGCUGACUCAAGUAAUUCAGCAGGGUGUGACUGACAGGCUCCGCAGCUGCAGCUCGUUGAACCAAUCAGGAGGUGCUUAAAAGGAGCAGAAUCCCUGAAAGACACCAGGAUCCUGCUCCAGUAAACUUCGUCAGUGUUUGGCCUGGUCCUGGUGCAGAAACCUGAUGUUUUCUACCUUGUGUUUUCUAUAAACCUCCUAAAACUGCCAGAAGCAGGAACAUUGUCUGACUGGAAUAGCGAGGACCAGAAAGGGUCUGCUGCUCCUUGCUUCUACAGUGCUGUUGUAGAGCUCCUGGAUGGCUGUCAGUUCAACCCUGGUGAUGUAUUGUGCUGACUUCACCUCCCUCUGCAUGCAGUCUGCAUCAUUACAGCCACCAUACCAAGCAGUGAUACACCCUGCUAGAAGACUCUUAAUGCUCCACAAGUGGAAGGUACUCUCUACAGCAGCUGUUUCUCCCCCUCUGCCUCUUCAGUGCUCUCUGGGUCAUAUUCUCCUCCACGUAGCCUUGAUGUGUCCAUAAAAUACUAUAUUGUAAGAUUAAACCAUGUAUUGUACAUUGAUAACAUAGUUGUCCAGUUGGACUCUAACAGCCCUUAAUUCCCACUCUUGGUGCACAUCUUAGGUGGCCUAUUCUCUACAGUCAGAGAAUACAUCAUAAGUUAACUGUAACUGAAAUAAUCAUUUCAAUAUUAUCAUAAUUUUCCUAAUCCCAUGUGGCUCUACUGAUGACAUUUGAUUUGUUUAUGGCUGUACAGUCAUGAGUAAACAGGCUUUACAACAGGGUGCUGUUGUGGAAAAUUCUUUUUAUCCCUCUCAUCUAUGACCGCUGUGUUUGGUUACUUAGAGGAAAUGGGUUCUAAAUUCAUUAUCAGAAGAGUUUAUGGUUAACACUUCCUGAAGUGUUGUAUCUCAAGGGAUGGUAGAUGGGUGCCCUCAUAAAUAACUUUGUUACCUUUGACCCAGGGAGGGGUCUAGGGGCUAUAUUUUCAAACUAUUUUAUGUUGAGAUAACACCCACAUACUGGUAUAAAUACUGUCUGUAAAUUUUG